GCUGGAGGCACAGGGCAGAACAG
RNAcentral lists this microRNA (23 nucleotides) under Mus musculus (house mouse). Its description in RNAcentral is "mmu-miR-6972-5p". Lineage: Eukaryota; Metazoa; Chordata; Mammalia; Rodentia; Muridae. The record is from miRBase by way of RNAcentral.